GCACUGGUGGUUCAGUGGUGGAAUCUUCGCCUUCUGUGUGGAAGACCCAGGUUUGAUUCCUGGCCGAUGCA
This 71-nucleotide transfer RNA is filed under the name Loxodonta africana (African savanna elephant). It matches the Rfam family "tRNA". From Rfam's summary of the family: Transfer RNA (tRNA) molecules are approximately 80 nucleotides in length. Their secondary structure includes four short double-helical elements and three loops (D, anti-codon, and T loops). Lineage: Eukaryota; Metazoa; Chordata; Mammalia; Proboscidea; Elephantidae. The record is from Rfam by way of RNAcentral.